Molecule: long non-coding RNA, 599 nt
Organism: Protopterus annectens (West African lungfish)
Lineage: Eukaryota; Metazoa; Chordata; Ceratodontiformes; Protopteridae
Exons: 3
Source: RefSeq, a predicted model, not a curated record
UAAUCACUGGACACUCUGUUUAAUGGGCAGUGAAGCAUGCUGUGAUACUUCUUCAAGGGAACAUGUUAGAGUUGAAUCCUGCUAAAUGGGAUAUGACCUGGAAAGAUUUUAGAGAGAAGCAAUGCUUCAGUCCUUUUUUCACUUCAGUUGGCUGACAAGGUUAAACAGCUGUACUUUCAUGAUGGUGAGGUUAGCUCUAUGCCAGGGAUGUCACUCCUUCUACAUAGGAAAAAUGGAGCAAGCAGUGAAGGAGCAAAUUUAUCAACAUUUAUAUGAAAUUAAAAAAGAGCAAGCUUCCCUGUAUCCCCCAAUUUGGGAGUAAACUCUCACAACUCCUGAACUUAUCUAUACUAACUACAAGGCUGCACCAACUCAAGGAAGUAAGAAAUGUCCCAAACAAACAAAUCAUUGCAGGAUCACACUUAGAAACCAGACCAACAAUGAUUUUCUGUGGGAAGCAGCAUCCAGUGUUAUUCCAUUCUGCAUGCUACUAAUGCUUGAGCAAUUUCACCUCAAGCUACUAAAGAGAAGCCUAUUAAAGUUUCAAUUAAAUAGUAGCUUUCUUGUGUUUGUAAAUAUUAAAGCUAAAACUGCAUGUA